This 489-nucleotide ribosomal RNA is filed under the name uncultured Campylobacterota bacterium. RNAcentral's name for it is "bacterial SSU rRNA". It matches the Rfam family "Bacterial small subunit ribosomal RNA", at positions 73 to 583 of the family's 1533-position model. Lineage: Bacteria; Pseudomonadati; Campylobacterota. The record is from RNAcentral.
GCCUAGCUUGCUAGGUGGAUUAGUGGCGCACGGGUGAGUAAUAUAUAGAUAACGUGCCUCUUAGUCUGGGAUAGCCAUUGGAAACGAUGAUUAAUACUAGACACUCCUUCUAACUCUAAUGUUAGUCGGGAAAGUUUUUCGCUAAGAGAUCGGUCUAUAUCCCAUCAGCUAGUUGGUAGUGUAAGAGACUACCAAGGCAAUGACGGGUAGCGGGUUUGAGAGGAUGAUCCGCCACACUGGUACUGAGACACGGACCAGACUCCUACGGGAGGCAGCAGUGAGGAAUAUUGCACAAUGGAGGAAACUCUGAUGCAGCAACGCCGCGUGGAGGAUGACGCAUUUCGGUGUGUAAACUCCUUUUAUAUGUCAAGAAAAUGACGGUAGCAUAUGAAUAAGCACCGGCUAACUCCGUGCCAGCAGCCGCGGUAAUACGGAGGGUGCAAGCGUUAUUCGGAAUCACUGGGCGUAAAGGACGCGUAGGCGGGAUGC